ACCCAUUCCCCCCUUAUCCCACCCCCUUCAAAACACAGAGGAACACAGAGGAAGACCAACAACAACAGCGAUAGAAAUUGCAAGAUCAUUAUAUGUACAAGUGUAAUGAGAAAUCAAUCAAUCAAAGAGAGAGCUUGACGCCUGAGCAAAUCGAAUCGAAUCUUAUCUUUCUUCUUCUUCGAUGGCUGUUUGUUUUCUGGGAAAAAAAGAAGUCUGUCCCUCAGUUGAAACUCUCACUUUCCCAGGAAUGGUUCCAGUGCCAAAGAAGGACUCUUCUUGCUUUGCUGCCUUAUCCAAUCAAUUCCUCAUUAUCCCAUUUUGCAUGCUGAAACUGGUGUGUAUAGUUUUCUCUUGACACUUGUGUUUUCUGGAUUUAUUUUGUUUCUGGGUUUUCUUUGUGGCUUGAAAUUAUGGUUAUUUGAGAUCUGAAAUUGUAGCCAUGCUGGGUGUACUUGAUUUGGUUGAAAGUAUAAAGUAUAAAGUUUGAUAUUUGUUGGGUAAUUGAUUUUCUAGACUUUAUAGAUGAAGAUUGAGAUGGGUUUAGGAGGUGGGGGUUGCGAUCUGGGUUUUGAGGGUGGUGGGAUAAGGAGGGGGAAUGGGCUGCAAGAUAGGGGGAGAGACCGAGCGAAAGAGAGAGGGAUUUUGUAAAUGACAAACUCAGGUUUAU
RNAcentral lists this long non-coding RNA (667 nucleotides) under Prunus dulcis (almond). RNAcentral describes it as "sRNA ncRNA". The record is from RNAcentral. Lineage: Eukaryota; Viridiplantae; Streptophyta; Magnoliopsida; Rosales; Rosaceae.